Molecule: ribosomal RNA, 253 nt
Filed under: uncultured bacterium
Lineage: Bacteria
Description: partial 16S ribosomal RNA
Rfam family: Bacterial small subunit ribosomal RNA
Source: RNAcentral
UACGGAGGGUGCAAGCGUUGUUCGGAAUUAUUGGGCGUAAAGGGCAAGUAGGUGGUCUUGUAAGUCUACUGUGAAAUCCCCGAGCUUAACUUGGGAAGUGCGGUGGAUACUGCAAGACUAGAGUGCUGGAUGGGUGCGUGGAAUUCCCGGUGUAGUGGUGAUAUGCGUAGAUAUCUGGAGGAACACCGGUGGCGAAGGCGGCAUCCUGGACCAACACUGACACUGAGGAGCGAAAGCCAGGGGAGCAAACGGG